UACAGAGGGGGCAAGCGUUAUUCGGAAUUAUUGGGCGUAAAGGGCGCGUAGGCGGCCUGGCAAGUGGAUGGUGAAAUCCCUCGGCUUAACCGAGGAACUGCCGUCCAAACUGCUUCGCUUGAGACCGGGAGAGGUGAGUGGAAUUCCCAGUGUAGCGGUGAAAUGCGCAGAUAUCAGGAAGAACACCCGUGGCGAAGGCGGCUCUCUGGGACGGUACUGACGCUGAGACGCGAAAGCGUGGGGAGCGAACAGG
Molecule: ribosomal RNA, 253 nt
Filed under: uncultured bacterium
Lineage: Bacteria
Description: partial 16S ribosomal RNA
Rfam family: Bacterial small subunit ribosomal RNA
Source: RNAcentral